GAGCGCCGUAGCAAUACGGAGCGGCAGACGGGAGAGUAACGCGUGGGAACCUUCCCAGUGGUACGGAAUAGCUCAGGGAAACUUGAGGUAAUACCGUAUAAGCCCUUAGGGGGAAAGAUUUAUCGCCAUUGGAUGGGCCCGCGUCGGAUUAGUUAGUUGGUGAGGUAACGGCUCACCAAGACGAAGAUCAGUAGCCGGCCUGAGAGGGCGCACGGCCACACUGGAACUGAAACACGGUCCAGACUCCUACGGGAGGCAGCAGUGGGGAAUUUUGCGCAAUGGGGGAAACCCUGACGCAGCAACGCCGCGUGGAGGAUGAAGUCCCUUGGGAUGUAAACUCCUUUCGAUCGGGACGAUAAUGACGGUACCGGAAGAAGAAGCACCGGCUAACUCUGUG
This 397-nucleotide ribosomal RNA is filed under the name uncultured bacterium. RNAcentral's name for it is "bacterial SSU rRNA". It matches the Rfam family "Bacterial small subunit ribosomal RNA", at positions 64 to 507 of the family's 1533-position model. The record is from RNAcentral.